This 527-nucleotide ribosomal RNA is filed under the name uncultured bacterium. Its description in RNAcentral is "bacterial SSU rRNA". It matches the Rfam family "Bacterial small subunit ribosomal RNA", at positions 777 to 1304 of the family's 1533-position model. The record is from RNAcentral.
AAUAGAUACCCCGGUAGUCCACGCCGUAAACGAUGAGUGCUAGGUGUUAGGGGGCUUGCCCCUUAGUGCUGCAGCUAACGCAUUAAGCACUCCGCCUGGGGAGUACGGCCGCAAGGCUGAAACUCAAAGGAAUUGACGGGGGGCCCGCACAGGCGGUGGAGCAUGUGGUUUAAUUCGAAGCAACGCGAAGAACCUUACCAGGUCUUGACAUCCCGCUGACCGCCAUGGAGACAUGGCUUUCCCUUCGGGGACAGCGGUGACAGGUGGUGCAUGGUUAUCGUCAGCUCGUGUCGUGAGAUGUUGGGUUAAGUCCCGCAACGAGCGCAACCCUUGUCCUUAGUUGCCAUCAUUCAGUUGGGCACUCUAAGGAGACUGCCGUACAAAUACGGAGGAAGGUGGGGAUGACGUCAAAUCAUCAUGCCCCUUAUGACCUGGGCUACACACGUGCUACAAUGGGCGGUACAAAGGGCUGCGAACCCGCGAGGGGGAGCGAAUCCCAAAAAGCCGCUCUCAGUUCGGAUUGCAGG